AUUGAACGCUGGCGGCAGGCCUAACACAUGCAAGUCGAGCGGAGCGGCGGACGGGUGAGUAAUGACUAGGACUCUGCCUGGUAGUGGGGGAUAACGUCCGGAAACGGGCGGUAAUAACGCAUACUCUCAGUUGGGACUAGGUCGGAUGAGGUAGUUGGUGGGGUAAAGGCCUACCAGGGCAGCGAACCGUAACUGGUCUGAGAGGAUGAUCAGUCACACUGGAACUGAGACACGGUCCAGAAUCCUACGGGAGGCAGCAGUGGGGAAUAUUGGCCAAGGGGCGAAAGCCUGAUCCAGCCAUGCCGCGUGUGUGAAGAAGGUCUUCGGAUUGUAAAGCACUUUAGGUUGGGAGGCGGUACCAACAGAAUAAGCACCGGCUAACUUCGUGCCAGCAGCCGCGGUAAUAC
Molecule: ribosomal RNA, 407 nt
Filed under: uncultured bacterium
Lineage: Bacteria
Description: partial 16S ribosomal RNA
Rfam family: Bacterial small subunit ribosomal RNA
Source: RNAcentral